RNAcentral lists this ribosomal RNA (301 nucleotides) under uncultured bacterium. RNAcentral's name for it is "partial 16S ribosomal RNA". It matches the Rfam family "Bacterial small subunit ribosomal RNA", at positions 509 to 807 of the family's 1533-position model. The record is from RNAcentral.
CAGUAGCCGCGGGAAUACGAAGGGGGCUAGCGUUGUUCGGAUUUACUGGGCGUAAAGCGCACGUAGGCGGACUUUUAAGUCAGGGGUGAAAUCCCGGGGCUCAACCCCGGAACUGCCUUUGAUACUGGAAGUCUUGAGUAUGGUAGAGGUGAGUGGAAUUCCGAGUGUAGAGGUGAAAUUCGUAGAUAUUCGGAGGAACACCAGUGGCGAAGGCGGCUCACUGGACCAUUACUGACGCUGAGGUGCGAAAGCGUGGGGAGCAAACAGGAUUAGAUACCCCCGUAGUCCCUGUCUAUUAUAC